Molecule: long non-coding RNA, 686 nt
Organism: Lolium rigidum
Lineage: Eukaryota; Viridiplantae; Streptophyta; Magnoliopsida; Poales; Poaceae
Exons: 6
Source: RefSeq, a predicted model, not a curated record
UGCCAGAAAGAAGAUCCAUGAGAGGAUCAAUGCUAUCCACUUAUCUUUGUCAGUUCUGAAAUCUCCAGGAGCUGAAGCUCAAGUAAAUGAGCUUAGAAAAGUAUCAAUAAAGCUAAGCAAAGCAUUGAACUUGGAAGGGAUCAGAUCAAUGGUGGAAAGAUUGACACAAAAGAACAACAUUCCACAGGUUGCCAAAGAUGUAGAAUCAACAGCUAACCAGUCAAUGCAAGAGAUGAGAGAAACUGAGGGAACUGCUGGCAGAAUAGAGACUCUACAUGGUUCUGAGUUGCCAAAUGGAAAUGCCUCUAUGACUAGACCGGAGGGAGUACUUGAUAUGUGCUUCUUAUCAAAGAUGAUCAUGGUGCAAAGAUGAAUAUUUACAUAUGGUAAGAGACUGGCGCCAGCGCAAUUGAAGCGGGGCGAGGUGAUACCGCUGCUGUGCAGCAGCCUGGCAGGCGGUGGGACAGCGGGAGUGGAGUUCAAGACCACAAGCGCGGCUUUGGAAGCGGUGCUUGUCGAGCGACUACGAUCACAGCUGAUGUCAAGAUGCUAACUUGAGCUUCUCCCAACGCCCGCCUUCUUCAAAAGAGAUACUAGAAAGGGCACGUGCUCCAGCCAGUUGCAGUUCCACAUGCGGGCCACGUCCACCGCCAGCCACCCGUUGCAGUUGGCGGCCAUCUUGUCGG